GGCCUACCAUGGUGGUAACGGGUAACGGGGUGUUAGGGCACGACACCGGAGAGGGAGCCUGAGAAACGGCUACCACAUCCAAGGAUGGCAGCAGGCGCGCAAAUUACCCAAUCCCGACACGGGGAGGUAGUGACAAUAAAUAACAAUACGGGGUUCUUUCGGAUCUCGUAAUUGGAAUGAGUACAAUUUAAAUCUCUUAACGAGGAACAAUUGGAGGGCAAGUCUGGUGCCAGCAGCCGCGGUAAUUCCAGCUCCAAUAGCGUAUAUUAAAGUUGUUGCAGUUAAAAAGCUCGUAGUUGAAUUUCGGGACCAAUUUGUUGGUCGUGCCUCGGUACGUACUGGUAUUAUUGGUUUCUCCCUUCUGAAGAACCUCGAUGUCAUUAAUUUGGUGUCGUGGGGAAUCAGGACUGUUACUUUGGAAAAAUUAGAGUGUUUAAAGCAGGCAUACGCUUGAAUACAUUAGCAUGGAAUAAUGAAAUAGGACGUUUGAUUCUAUUUUGUUGGUUUCUAGGAUCGACGUAAUGAUUAAUAGGGAUAGUUGGGGGCAUUAGUAUUCAAUUGUCAGAGGUGAAAUUCUUGGAUUUAUUGAAGACUAACUACUGCGAAAGCAUUUGCCAAGGAUGUUUUCAUUAAUCAAGAACGAAAGUUAGGGGAUCGAAGACGAUCAGAUACCGUCGUAGUCUUAACCAUAAACUAUGCCGACUAGGGAUCGGAUGAUGUUAAUUUUUUAAUGACUCAUUCGGCACCUUACGGGAAACCA
Molecule: ribosomal RNA, 760 nt
Filed under: uncultured Glomeromycotina
Lineage: Eukaryota; Fungi; Glomeromycota
Description: SSU rRNA
Rfam family: Eukaryotic small subunit ribosomal RNA
Source: RNAcentral